RNAcentral lists this ribosomal RNA (669 nucleotides) under Triticum aestivum (bread wheat). Its description in RNAcentral is "partial small subunit ribosomal RNA". The record is from RNAcentral. Lineage: Eukaryota; Viridiplantae; Streptophyta; Magnoliopsida; Poales; Poaceae.
AUGGCAUUUCACCUUCAAUCUACAACAACGACGAGUUCGAUGCCACGAACAACAACUUCGACGCCAAGAUGCAUGCUAAAAUGGAGGAGAUCAAAGCCCUCAUCAAGUCCUACAAGAAAUCUUCCUCAUCUUCGAGAAUACGCUCAAGAGCACAUGCUUCCGAGCUACCAUCUCCAGCAAGAUCACAUCGGCACCGACACCAUCACCAACAAGAACCUUGAAGGUCAAGAUCUCAACACCAACUACCUCUCAAUGACUUCACCAUCUCCCUUGGCAUCUUUGCCAAGCGACUUCAAGGCAUCUUCGUCUAUGGACAUACAACAUCUUCGCCAACAAGCACCCCAAGACUACACUCAAGAGAAGCUCCCCAAGCUCAAGUCCACAACUUCCACGAGCUACUACGACCUCGGCACCGACAAUGAGAUUGCUUUCUAUGGGACUCAAGAACCCGAGGAGUAUCUCGAGUGGGAGCUUUUGAUGGACGACUACCUCAAGCUACAUCAAGUUCGUCCCGAAGAUCAAGUGAAGUGCGCCACAAGAAACUUCCACGACUACGCCUCGACAUGGUGUCUUCACACACCUUUGGAGAGCUACGAGAUGAGUUGGCCCAAGACGAAGAGAGCUUUGCGGCGAGAGUCCGUGCCUCCAACCUACACAGAACAACUUUGA